AGGACGAACGCUGGCGGCGCGCCUAACACAUGCAAGUCGAGCGAGAACCGGGGGCUUGCCCUCGGGGAAAGCGGCGAACGGGUGCGUAACACGUGAGCAACCUGCCCCAAAGACCGGGACAACCCGAGGAAACUCGGACUAAUGCCGGAUGCCCUCACCGGGUCGCAUGGUCUGGUGAGGAAAUGGAUUCCGCUUUGGGAUGGGCUCGCGGUCUAUCAGCUUGUUGGUGGGGUAACGGCCUACCAAGGCGACGACGGAUAGC
Molecule: ribosomal RNA, 262 nt
Filed under: uncultured bacterium
Lineage: Bacteria
Description: partial small subunit ribosomal RNA
Rfam family: Bacterial small subunit ribosomal RNA
Source: RNAcentral